Camarhynchus parvulus is the source of this 413-nucleotide long non-coding RNA. RefSeq lists it as uncharacterized. Lineage: Eukaryota; Metazoa; Chordata; Aves; Passeriformes; Thraupidae. The record is from RefSeq and is a predicted model, not a curated record. The transcript has 3 exons.
CCCCGCGGGGCUGGGGCAGGCGCCGCUCCAGGGCCGCUGGGCCGGUGCCCGGUGCGGCUGCGGGAGGGCUGCGGUCUGUACCGGCAGCCGCCGUGGCACCGAGCCCGCCGUAGGUGUGGGAGGCGGGGCGGCGUUCCCUGAGCGUACAUGGGGUAUGCACAUGGCUCGAGUGCCGUAACCAGAGCGUAGCUUUGGCACUACUGAGGAAAUAGAAGGGUGAAUUUGGGAAGUGAAGUUGACAAGAAUUUGACAGGAAGCUGACACUGUGCUGAUAAAGGAAAGCAAGGUGUGAAAAUGGACAAGGAUUUGGAAAAGGCCUCGAGGUGUUUCUGUACUGGAUACAGAACUGAGUUACUUCUGUCAGAUGUAUUCUCCUGGGUAUAUAUUUGCAGCACUCCUAUCUGACAGUCCAC